Molecule: unclassified non-coding RNA, 346 nt
Filed under: soil metagenome
Description: partial contains 5.8S ribosomal RNA, internal transcribed spacer 2, and large subunit ribosomal RNA
Rfam family: 5.8S ribosomal RNA (bases 1-121)
Source: RNAcentral
GAUGAAGAACGUAGCGAAAUGCGAUAAGUAAUGCGAAUUGCAGAAUUUCCGUGAGUCAUCGAAUCUUUGAACGCACAUUGCGCCCCCUGGUAUUCCGGGGGGCAUGCCUGUCCGAGCGUCAUUGCUGCCCUCAAGCACGGCUUGUGUGUUGGGCCUCCGUCCUCCUCCCGGGGGACGGGCCCGAAAGGCAGCGGCGGCACCGCGUCCGGUCCUCGAGCGUAUGGGGCUUCGUCACCCGCUCUUGUAGGCCCGGCCGGCGCUUGCCGACACAUCAAUCUUUUUUCCAGGUUGACCUCGGAUCAGGUAGGGAUACCCGCUGAACUUAAGCAUAUCAAUAAGCGGAGGA